AAUUUUUUUUGGCCAUUUUAAUUUUUAAAAUUUUUCUUGGUCAUUUAAUUUUUUUUCGUAUUUUUUUGCUAAUUUAAUUUUUUUUUAGUAUUUUUUUGGCAAUUUAAUUUUUUUAUAUAUAUUUCUUUGGACCAUUUAAAAAUAUUUAAAAUUUUUUGCCAUUUAAAAAUUAUUUUAGUUUUUUUUUGGCCUCUUAAAAUAUUUUAUAUUUUUUGUGUCCAUUAAAAUUUUUUUAAAUUUUUUUUUGGGCAUUUAAAAAUUUAUUUACUAUUUUUUUGUCCAUUUAAAAAUUAUUUUAUGGUUUUUUUUGGCCAUUUAAUAUUUUUUAAAAUUUUUUUUUGGCCAUUUAAAUUUUUUUUUAAUUUUUUUUUGGCCAUUUUAAAAUUUUUUAAGUAUUUUUUGGGCUAUAUUUGAAUUUUUUAAUAUUUUUUCUAACACCUCCGAGACUCAUUCUUUCCAACCCCCCGAGCCUGCAGCUCGGGUUUAUUUUCCGAGGCGAUUUUUGGGAUGGUUUCAGCAGUUUCUGCCUCCGAUUUCCCAGAACAAGGAGCUUUUUCAGCCCUUUUUCACUUUAUGGCCUCAAUAAUUCCCUCGCUGCCUCCUCACUCCAGAAGUGUCGGCAAUUCCAGCUCCGGGUGGAAAAAUAAAGGGAAAAAAAAAUAUUAAAAAAAUAGAAAUAUUUAAAAAAAAAAAAUAAGAGUUGAAUUAUUUAAUUGGAGGGAACUUUGCCAGCCCUUCACAAACCUCGCUCUGUUCCGCCGGCCCGGCCAAAUUUUGGGUGUUGAUUGAAUCCCCUCAUCCCCCCCCGCGCUGCCGGCCAGGGAAACCUGGAGGCAAAAACAGCCCCGAGAACUCGAGCCAGCCCCAAAUCCUCCUGCCCGUCCUGAUUUUCCUCCUCCCCAUGGCGAUUUUCCUCCUCCCUAUCGCGAUUUUCCUCCUCCUGAUCUCGAUUUUCCUCCUCCCCAUCGCGAUUUUCCUCCUCCCCAUCUUUGAUUUUCCUCCUCCCCAUCUUGAUUUUCCUCCUCUCGAUCUUGAUUUUCCUCCUCCUGAUCUCGAUUUUCCUCUUCUUGGUUUUGCUUUUUCUCCUCCCCAUCUCGAUUUCCGUCUUCUUGAUCUCGAUUUUCCUCCUCCUGAUCUUGAUUUUCCUCCUCCUGAUCUUGAUUUUCCUCCUCCUGAUCUUUAUUCUCCACUCCAUCUCGAUUUUCCUCCUCCUGGUCUUCAUUUUCCUCCUCCCCAUUUUGCUUUUCAUCCUCCUGAUCUUCAUUUUUCUCCUCUUAAUCUUGAUUUUCUUCCUCUUGGUUUUGCUUUUCCUUCUCCUAAUUUUGAUUUUCCUCCUCCUGAUCUCGAUUUUCCUCCUCUCCAUCUCGAUUUUCCUCCUCUUGAUCUUCAUUUUCCUCUUCCCCAUCUUGACUUUCCUCCUCUUGGUUUUGAUUUUCCUCCUCCUGAUCUCGAUUUUCCUCCUCCUGAUUUUGAUUUCCCUCCUCUCGAUCUUUGUUCUCCUCCUGAUUUUGAUUUUCCUCCUCCUAAUUUUGAUUUUCCUCCUCCUGAUUUUGAUUUUCCUCCUCCUGAUUUUGAUUUUCCUCCUCCUGAUUUUGAUUUUCCUCCUCCUGAUUUUGAUUUCUGCCCCCAUCCUGAGCCGUGCCUGUCCAAAAUCGGGGGCUCCCCCUUCUCCAUCGCCCCCUCCCCUCUGCAGACCUCCAGCCCGGAAUUUUGGGUUUUUUUGGGGAAAAUGAGGCCAAAAUCUGGCUGAAGAGAAUCCCCCUCCCCAAUUUAUCGCUCCUCCUUUGCAUGAAGCCAAAACCUGAUUAAAACUGAGCCCCCUCCCCAAUUUAUCGCUCCUCCUGUGCAGACUUUGAGCCUGGAAUUUGGGAUUUUUGGGGGAAAUGAAGCCAAAAUCUGGCUCAAGACAAUCCCCCUCCCCAAUUUAUCGCUCCUCCUGUUGCUCGAGCCUGGAAUUUUGGGGAUUUUUGGGGGAAAUGAAGCCAAAAUCUGGCUCAAGACCAUCCCCCUCCCCAAUUUAUUGCUCCUCCUGUGCAGACUUUGAGCCUGGAAUUUUGGGAUUUUUUGGGGGGAAAUGAAGCCAAAAUCUGAUUGAAGCCGAGCCCCCUCCCCGCUUUAUCUCUCCUCCUGUUGCUCCAGCCUGGAAUUUGGUUUUUUUUGAGGAAAUGAGGCCAAAAUCUGAUUAAAGCCGAGCCCCCUCCCCAAUUUAUCGCUCCUCCUGUGCAGACCCCGAGCCUGGAAUUUGGGUUUUUUUUGAAAAGAUAAGAAAAAAUCUGAUUAAAGCCGAGCCCCUCCCCAUUUUAUUGCUCCUGCUGUGCAGAUCUCGCUCCUGGAAUUUUGGGUUGUUUUGGUUUUUUCUUGAAAAAACGAGCCCAAAAUCUGAUUAAAGCCGCGCCUAUCAAAGCCCGGCUUAACUCCAGAGCUACCGUCCGAGCCCUGCUGAGCCCAGCCUGAGCCGGGGCUGCGGAGGCGUCCGAAAGAAACAGAAAUC
RNAcentral lists this long non-coding RNA (2491 nucleotides) under Serinus canaria (Common canary). RNAcentral describes it as "lncRNA (ENSSCAG00000007467.1)". Lineage: Eukaryota; Metazoa; Chordata; Aves; Passeriformes; Fringillidae. The record is from RNAcentral.